CAGGGCCUUAGCGUUGGACGUGCAAGUGGCCUAUCAAACUGAUCCUCAACCCCCCACGCAGAUAGCCAGCAGUGUGGAAAGUAUCCCUCCAAUUGUUUCGGAGCCUGUGGCGGGGAGUCUCCCUUCAGAGCUGUGCACUGGGUCAAAAGCAGACGAGGGCACCCGGUGCCAUGAUGCAGUGCUAGAAACUGAAAUUUGCUUUUGACCUAGACGGAGUGUAAAUGCUGCAUCCGGAGUCUCCUGUCUUCUCGCACGCGCUGUCUGGGUCGGCUCUGUACUCCCGACAAACCGCCCCACGCCAAACGAAGGAGGCUGUUUAUUUUGAGAGGAAGCUUUAAUCCACCGGGAGGUGAGGGGUGUGAAAGCUCCCACCGUGACUCUUGCCUGCCUUUCGUUGUCCCCGCCCCAGCCAUCGGAGUGACCUUGACCUCCACCUGCUAACGUGCGCGAGUCCGCUUCAGAUCGCCACGUGACUGCUAAACCAGGCAAGGAAGCUUUGGGGAGAGAAGGGGGAAACCGUCAAGCCUGUUCUUUUUAAUAUAUACACCCAUAUAUAUAUAUCUCUCUCUCUCUAAACAACAAUUUAAACCUUUUCCUUGGAGGCUGAUGAAGGAUUCUGAGGAACAUUUUGAUCCUCUCUGUAGUGCAUUGAAAAUGGAGCCAGGAUUUGUUUGUCUCCUGGGGCAUCCAUCGCCAAAUGACCUCUUCCUGAUUAAAUGUCUAUAUUAGACACUACAUUUUCCUACUUUUUUUGUUUAAUAAUGUGUAUCCCAGGACCUUUUUUUAAUUUUGUCACAUUUUACAAACUGUUACAUGCAUGAGUGUGUUUGUGUGUGUUUUUCCUGAAUUGGUAUUUAUGAAUGUCAUGUAUUUAAGCUGUUUCCACCUCUUUCCCCUCCCCUCCCCCAAUUUCGGGAUAGCAAGAAGACGCUCGCUUUCCGCAGACGUGCAAUCUUGUGGCUUUUUUUUUUAAAACUACUUCCUCAAAGGGAGGAAGCGGGCAGAGGAAGACUAGUAGGGAGUCUUUGACAAAAAAAAAACAAGAGCACUGGACAUUGAGAGGUAUCCCCGGUGUGCAUGCGCCAUAAUGUUACAGAUACUCUCGUGUGUACGCCUCCGCUGUGGGGUGGACAGACUUUCUGCAGUAUUCUCCGACUGUAUGUGCAAAGCUGCGAGAUCAGUUUCUGAUGACUCUGAAGUGCUGAUGCCCCCAACCCCAAACUCGCUUUCAGGGAGCUUGUACCCCUUGGACUGACUGGAUACAUUCUACCCCAGUUAUCUUUUUAUUGUCGCUGGGCGAGCAGUUGCCAAAAUGGAACCGGCAAUUGCCGUGAGUGUCCGGCUCCUCUCUGUGUAUCCUUUCCCCAGUUUUGAGGAGGUGAUGAAUCAAGCCUCCACUCCUUCCCGGCUGGUUCGGUGUAAAUCUCUUUCAGUGAGUGGCGAGGAGGAGAGCGUUGUGGGUGAGAUUAAAAACAGAGCUUUGUUUGUAGUUCCCAGGUUCCUGGGUAAGUUGCCCUCAGAUUUAGCGAGGAGUCUGUGUAUUUGCGCUUGCUGGCCCACAAUCUGUGCUGCGGCGGUGAGGCUGGGGAGUCUUUGCCUUUGGGAGCAGGGUGGUGGGAGGGGGAGGAACAUGAAAACGUAAAGGAUCGAAUGUAUCCUGCAAUCUUUUCCCCUCGCCACCUCGUCCCACUUCCCCAAACCGUACUGUGGACAACUCCGAUGAGAGUUUGGAUAAUUUGGUUCCCAUCAGACUCCUCUCCCCCCCCCCCCCCCC
Non-coding RNA from Chiloscyllium plagiosum (whitespotted bambooshark), 1774 nucleotides. The record is from RefSeq and is a predicted model, not a curated record. Lineage: Eukaryota; Metazoa; Chordata; Chondrichthyes; Orectolobiformes; Hemiscylliidae.